Molecule: ribosomal RNA, 536 nt
Filed under: Enterococcus sp.
Lineage: Bacteria; Bacillati; Bacillota; Bacilli; Lactobacillales; Enterococcaceae
Description: bacterial SSU rRNA
Rfam family: Bacterial small subunit ribosomal RNA
Source: RNAcentral
CACCGAAAGAAAAAGAGUGGCGAACGGGUGAGUAACACGUGGGUAACCUGCCCAUCAGAAGGGGAUAACACUUGGAAACAGGUGCUAAUACCGUAUAACACUAUUUUCCGCAUGGAAGAAAGUUGAAAGGCGCUUUUGCGUCACUGAUGGAUGGACCCGCGGUGCAUUAGCUAGUUGGUGAGGUAACGGCUCACCAAGGCAACGAUGCAUAGCCGACCUGAGAGGGUGAUCGGCCACACUGGGACUGAGACACGGCCCAGACUCCUACGGGAGGCAGCAGUAGGGAAUCUUCGGCAAUGGACGAAAGUCUGACCGAGCAACGCCGCGUGAGUGAAGAAGGUUUUCGGAUCGUAAAACUCUGUUGUUAGAGAAGAACAAGGAUGAGAGUAAAAUGUUCAUCCCUUGACGGUAUCUAACCAGAAAGCCACGGCUAACUACGUGCCAGCAGCCGCGGUAAUACGUAGGUGGCAAGCGUUGUCCGGAUUUAUUGGGCGUAAAGCGAGCGCAGGCGGUUUCUUAAGUCUGAUGUGAAAGCC